AGCGAACGCUGGCGGCAGGCCUAACACAUGCAAGUCGAGCGGCCGUAGCAAUACGGCAGCGGCAGACGGGAGAGUAACACGUGGGAACGUGCCCAUCAGUUCGGAACAACCCAGGGAAACUUGGGCUAAUACAGGAUACGCCCUUACGGGGAAAGAUUUAUCGCUGAUGGAGCGGCCCGCGUCGGAUUAGCUAGUUGGUGAGGUAACGGCUCACCAAGGCGACGAUCAGUAGCUGGUCUGAGAGGAUGAUCAGCCUCACUGGGACUGAGACACGGCCCAGACUCCUACGGGAGGCAGCAGUGGGGAAUAUUGGACAAUGGGCGCAAGCCUGAUCCAGCCAUGCCGCGUGGAUGAUGAAGGCCCUAGGGUUGUAAAGUCCUUUCGGCGGGGAAGAUAAUGACGGUACCCGCAGAAGAAGCCCCGGCUAACUUCGUGCCAGCCGCCGCAGUAA
Molecule: ribosomal RNA, 451 nt
Filed under: uncultured bacterium
Lineage: Bacteria
Description: partial 16S ribosomal RNA
Rfam family: Bacterial small subunit ribosomal RNA
Source: RNAcentral